Molecule: ribosomal RNA, 794 nt
Filed under: Limosilactobacillus fermentum
Lineage: Bacteria; Bacillati; Bacillota; Bacilli; Lactobacillales; Lactobacillaceae
Description: bacterial SSU rRNA
Rfam family: Bacterial small subunit ribosomal RNA
Source: RNAcentral
UGCAGUCGACGCGUUGGCCCAAUUGAUUGAUGGUGCUUGCACCUGAUUGAUUUUGGUCGCYAACGAGUGGCGGACGGGUGAGUAACACGUAGGUAACCURCCCAGAAGCGGGGGACAACAUUUGGAAACAGAUGCUAAUACCGCAUAACAACGUUGUUCGCAUGAACAACGCUUAAAAGAUGGCUUCUCGCUAUCACUUCUGGAUGGACCUGCGGUGCAUUAGCUUGUUGGUGGGGUAACGGCCUACCAAGGCGAUGAUGCAUAGCCGAGUUGAGAGACUGAUCGGCCACAAUGGGACUGAGACACGGCCCAUACUCCUACGGGAGGCAGCAGUAGGGAAUCUUCCACAAUGGGCGCAAGCCUGAUGGAGCAACACCGCGUGAGUGAAGAAGGGUUUCGGCUCGUAAAGCUCUGUUGUUAAAGAAGAACACGUAUGAGAGUAACUGUUCAUACGUUGACGGUAUUUAACCAGAAAGUCACGGCUAACUACGUGCCAGCAGCCGCGGUAAUACGUAGGUGGCAAGCGUUAUCCGGAUUUAUUGGGCGUAAAGAGAGUGCAGGCGGUUUUCUAAGUCUGAUGUGAAAGCCUUCGGCUUAACCGGAGAAGUGCAUCGGAAACUGGAUAACUUGAGUGCAGAAGAGGGUAGUGGAACUCCAUGUGUAGCGGUGGAAUGCGUAGAUAUAUGGAAGAACACCAGUGGCGAAGGCGGCUACCUGGUCUGCAACUGACGCUGAGACUCGAAAGCAUGGGUAGCGAACAGGAUUAGAUACCCUGGUAGUCCAUGCCGUAAACG